RNAcentral lists this ribosomal RNA (200 nucleotides) under uncultured bacterium. Its description in RNAcentral is "partial 16S ribosomal RNA". It matches the Rfam family "Bacterial small subunit ribosomal RNA", at positions 524 to 724 of the family's 1533-position model. The record is from RNAcentral.
UACGGGGGGUGCGAGCGUUAAUCGGAAUUACUGGGCGUAAAGGGUCUGUAGGUGGUAUGUUAAGUCAGAUGUGAAAGCCCAGGGCCACUACGUGAACUGCAUUUGAUACUGGCAAACUAGAGUAUGGUAGAGGAAUGGGGAAUUUCCGGUGUAGCGGUGAAAUGCGUAGAUAUCGGAAGGAACACCAAUGGCGAAGGCAA